UACGUAGGGGGCAAGCGUUGUCCGGAAUUAUUGGGCGUAAAGAGCGCGUAGGCGGUCCGAUAAGUCGGCUGUGAAAGUCAAGGGCUCAACCCUUGGAAGCCGGCCGAUACUGUCGGACUAGAGUCCGGAAGAGGCGAGUGGAAUUCCCGGUGUAGCGGUGAAAUGCGCAGAUAUCGGGAGGAACACCAAUUGCGAAGGCAGCUCGCUGGGACGGUACUGACGCUGAGACGCGAAAGCGUGGGGAGCAAACAGG
This 253-nucleotide ribosomal RNA is filed under the name uncultured bacterium. RNAcentral's name for it is "partial 16S ribosomal RNA". It matches the Rfam family "Bacterial small subunit ribosomal RNA", at positions 524 to 776 of the family's 1533-position model. The record is from RNAcentral.